RNAcentral lists this long non-coding RNA (1996 nucleotides) under Lactuca sativa (garden lettuce). Its description in RNAcentral is "long non-coding RNA (LSAT_LNC003733)". The record is from RNAcentral. Lineage: Eukaryota; Viridiplantae; Streptophyta; Magnoliopsida; Asterales; Asteraceae.
CCCUCUCUCUCUCUCUCUCUCUCUCUCUCUCUCUCUCUCUCUCUCUCUCUCUCUCUUGUUUCUUACAUGACCCCAUCCAGUAUACCCUCCAAGCACCACCACCCAAUUCAUCUUCUUCAGUCAUUAACAAUCUUCUAACUUACACACAUAAAGACAUGAACUUGUAGGAACUGCCGUUCUCAGUGCAGACACUUGCAAACAUUUGCAAAUUAACAACCUGAAAAUCAAGCACGCAUACAUUGAGAAAAAGAUAAAAAAAGACAACUACAAUCACAAUGAAAAUUUGAAACUCCAACACACACACACACAACCAAAAUGAAAAUCAAACAACAAAAAUCGAAUUUUAAUUCCUAUCAACAUUCCUCUAAAUAUGUUUAAAAUCAACUAAUAUUUGAAAAACCACGUUUAAAAUCAAGUAUAAAGAACAAGGGACAUGAAUCUCAAUUAACUUUAAAACUAAUUUACAAAAUCUAUUUACAAUCUUUAAAUGAAAACAUAAAUGGAUUACACUUUAACACCAUAAAUUUGAUUAUCCAAAACAAAAUAAAUGAUUAUCCUUCAACACUAUUGAGUCAUCUUCCUAUGGAUGCAAAAAAUACCUCAAAGUAUGUUUGUAGGAAUUUGGUGAGAGAGGAAGUUGAAACUUUCAUGUGUAUUGGCAAAAUAAAGCUUCCAAUUGAUGUCUUAACCAAUCGAGUCGGUCUUGUGUAGAAGCUCAUAAUCCUACAUGAAAGGGAAAAGCUCAUCCUCUAAAACCGAUCAAGUAUUUUCUAGAUAGAAGUUGAAGGGGCGGAAUGGUCGUGAGAGAGAGAUAGAGAGAGAGAGAGAGAGAGGUAGAGAGAGAGAGAGUAGGUGUAUUUAUCAAAAUCUAAAUAACAUAUUUAUCAUUAUUAUCUUAAUUUUCAAAAUAUUGUAUUUAUCAAAAUCUAAUUAUUAUAUUCAAGAAAAAUUAUAAUAAAAAAAUUGCCAUAUUGCCCAUAAAUAUAACUUUAACCCCUAAAUAUCCCUGAUAAUGUAUAUGCAAAAUAGUUACAAAAAAUUCAUGGUUUUGCUUUCAUAUAGCCCAAGAUGUAUCGGGAAGAGUUUCAGGUCAAAGUCGAAAGGGUCAAAAGUUUACCUUAGAACUCAAACGCAAGUAAUAUAUCAACUUCAUGAUAGCAAUUUAACACCUAAACAUACCAACCUUCUUAUCAUGUAUAUACAGAACAAUCAUAAUUCGUGGGUUUGCAUUUUCUGUAGCCCAAAAUGUAUUAGGAGUGCGACGUCAAAGUCAUAAUGGUCAAAAUUCACCUCGAACUUAAACUCUAGUAAUAUAUCACCUUUCUGGUAACACUUUAGUCCUUACACAUCCCAACCUUCUUAUCACGUAUAUGCAGAAUAGUAAAAAAUAAUUCAUGGAUUUACAUUUUUUGUAUCCCAAGAUGCAUCAGGAGUGCAGAGUCAAAGUCAAAAUGGUCAAAAUUCACAUUUAAACUCAAACUCCAGUAAUAUACUUGUUGGGUUUUGUACGCAUGAAUACACUCUAACAAUGCAGCGGAAACAAUAAAAAUUCACCUAAGUAUACAUGCACCAUAGGAUCUAGGUUUACUAAUUAUAGCAGCUUACUUUAUUAAAUUGUAAAUCUAAUAAGAAAGACGAAAUUACUAAACUCUUGUGCAACUUAAUAUUGAUCUUUUUGACCCAUUCUUGAAGCUUCAUAAUCAAUCCAACCAUGUUUCUUGGAUGAGAGGACCCAAAGUAGAGUCACUCUAAUGGAAUCACACUUAAUAACUCCAAAGAGAGAACCAAUAGAAAAGAUAAGAGAUGGUCAAAUUUCUACAAACCCUAGGAAGGGUUAAGAAAUUCAUCCCAUAGAGAGAAAUAGAAGAAAUUAACAAAAAUUCAAGACAAGGUGCAAGGAGGAAUGAAACCCCUAACAUCCUAUAUAUAGCCUUAAAUCCCUUUCCAAGUUUAUCUCUAUCCCAUGUGGGAUAGAGAUAUAAUUUGAAAUAUUCUC